GAUGAACGCUGGCGGCGUGCCUAAUACAUGCAAGUCGAGCGAACUGAUUAGAAGCUUGCUUCUAUGACGUUAGCGGCGGACGGGUGAGUAACACGUGGGCAACCUGCCUGUAAGACUGGGAUAACUUCGGGAAACCGAAGCUAAUACCGGAUAGGAUCUUCUCCUUCAUGGGAGAUGAUUGAAAGAUGGUUUCGGCUAUCACUUACAGAUGGGCCCGCGGUGCAUUAGCUAGUUGGUGAGGUAACGGCUCACCAAGGCAACGAUGCAUAGCGGACCUGAGAGGGUGAUCGGCCACACUGGGACUGGGACACGGCCCAGACUCCUCCGGGAGGCAGCAGUAGGGAAUCUUCCGCAAUGGACGAAAGUCUGACGGAGCAACGCCGCGUGAGUGAUGAAGGCUUUCGGGUCGUAAAACUCUGUUGUUAGGGAAGAACAAGUACGAGAGUAACUGCUCGUACCUUGACGGUACCUAACCAGAAAGCCACGGCUAACUACGUGCCAGCCGCCGCCGUAA
Molecule: ribosomal RNA, 514 nt
Filed under: uncultured bacterium
Lineage: Bacteria
Description: partial 16S ribosomal RNA
Rfam family: Bacterial small subunit ribosomal RNA
Source: RNAcentral